GCCUUAACACGCCCAUAGAACUUGGACUUCUCCUGUGUUGUCUGGAAUCUACCAUGGCCAAACUUGGAGGAUGUAUCAAUAAACUUGAGCUUAAUCUCCUCCAAAGCAACCCUAGAUGUCUGGUUCAACAAUGAUUGUCUCAAGGUCACAACUCUCUUCUUUGGUCCCACGCAGCAUCCUUUUAUCAUCAAAUAAUCUUCCUUCACCACACCAUAAUGGGGGAAUCCUCCCAUUGGAGUGAUAUCCUUUUCAGUCCUGUUAUUUGUGAAACAGAUUAGCCAAUUUCGAUGGGGCAAAUUUACAAUAACAACAAUAACCUCCUACGAAUUGCUAGAUCAAGACGAAUGAUAUUAAUAUAGGACAGUGAAAAAAAGGCAUUAAGAAUGUUAACCUGUCAUAUUCAGUAAUUGCAGUAUGAGAAUCUUGGCCACUCUUCCCAAGCUUGUAGAUUUUCUUGUUCAUCUCAGUACGGUGAUGGUAACCAUUCUGUCCAGCCCUAGCAACAGUAAAUGACACCCUAGCUGGAUGCCAAGCACCAAUACAUGCCACCUUCCUUAGACCACGAUGGGUCUUGCGGGGCAGGCGGGUCACACCCCAACGAGUAACCACACCUUCAUAUCCCUUACCCUUGGUUACACCAAUAAUAUCAAUCAUCUCAUCCUUUUGGAAAACAGCAUCAAUAGGUAUCUGCUUCUCAAAGAAACUGUAUGCAAAAUCAACCUUCUUGGCAACAUCCCCACCAUUUACUUGAAUCUCCAUCAGAUGGGCUUUCUUCUGCUUCAACCCUUUCAUCUUUCUUAUCUGCAGAGUCAAUAGUGCAGCAAAUGUGAAGAGUUAAAGAUUAAAGAAGAGCACAUACAAGUUGUACUCAGAAGACCAAAACUGUGAAUCUAUACAAGGAUCAGCAAUCCAGCAGUCUUAAGGUGCUACUAAAUUGAUGAGUAAUUAUAUCUCAUUAGCAGAACUGAAUACACAAGGGAAAAGUGAAAGUAAUUUACCUGGGUGUGCGCCAAGACUCGAAUGACCGAACAAUGCUUCUUCAGUUUCUCCAAUUGAGCUUGAAUAUCUUUCUUCCCAUCCUCAGAUUCAAACUUUUUAGAGUACUUGGUGAAUGCCUUCUUCUUCGACUUGCACCAGUUCUUGUAGAAUCUCCUCCUCACAUCCUCACUCAAAUGCUGGGCCCAGACAGUGUUCAGUGAACGGAGACCACGGGGUGUUUUCAUAUAACCCACAACCCCAACCACCACCAUAGGUGGUGUCUCUACGAUAGUAACAGCCUCACAUGUUUCUUUCUUGUGGAGCUUUGACCCUGGCUUUUCAACUUCUCUGACAAUGUGGGUCAUCCCUGCUUUGUAACCCAGAAAAGCAGUCAAUCUGCAAGGUUUUGUUGGAUCAUCUUUGGGGAACGCCUUCACUGUAAACAUCACAUAAAAGCGUUAAAAAAAAAUCAACAAUUGCACAACACUAACCAAUAUGCAAAUUGCAAAAAUAGUCAAUAUAAACAACUCACAAGUGAGUAAGAAAUCAACAUUAACAAAUAUUGAAAUAAUUUAAUUGCAAGGCACUGAAAAAAAUCAAUGCAAACACUAAAACUAAGGAAGCAACAUAGGAAGAUGACACUCUUUAUGAAAACAAAAAAAAUUCUUGUAUUAAAAUCUAGAACUGCUAGGAAAUGCGAAUAAUUCAUUUAUAAUAACAAACCAACUACCAAGGCUAGGCAUAGGCCAUCUAUCUACCCACAACUCAUGCAGCAUAGAAAAGAGGCCAUUAUUGAAAUAUCAAGGACCUAUUUACUUGUAGAAAACAGUUUUUCUUUUCAACCUUCGAAGAAUUAGAAGACUAUAGUUUUCUUUUUAUAAAGAAAACAAAGGAAAAGAUGGAAAGCAAGUUCAAUAGUGAAUGAUAGAAAAUAGUUAUGUAUUUUAAAAAUUUUUAAGAAUUAUUUGUAUCCAUUCGUAAUAAAAAAAAAAGUCAUGAUAAAUAUAUUUUAGAUCUAUUUUUUAAUUGUGUCAAUUGUUUUAUCUUAUAAUAAUAUAGUUAGUUCUCAUUACUGUAAAUAAAUGUUUUUUCCCAACUUAAUGAUGAAAAGUUAUAGAAUAAUUUGAGUCAUUAGAGGAGAACAGUUGAAAAUAGAACUUUUGUUAUAAAGAAAAAUAAUGAGGAAAAAACAUAAAGCUGAUUUCCAAAUCUUAGUCAAGUUUUGGAAAAUUGAAAAACAAAAUUUUCAAUUCUCAGAUUGGAAAAUUGAUACAUAUGCACACAAAACUUUAUUUUCCAAUUUACUUAGAACAUUAUUCCCAAAAAUUACUCCAGUUUUCUACAAGUAAGAAAGUACAAAAAGUCCUGAGAUUUUUCAUGCCAAGGAAGAAAUGACAUACAAACGGACAAACCAUACAUGAAUUUAUUUUAUCAAAAGCCCUAUUUUUACAUCCAAAAAACCGAAGACAACCUUAACUAUAGAGGAGUUAGCUAAUACUAAAAAACCACCAUAAUAUGAUCAAAACUAAACAAAAAGCAAUUUAGGCAACAUCAAUUACUGAUAAUGAAAACAAUCAAUGCAUGACUUCAAAAAAAUCAACCAAUGCACAUUAUGUAAGGCCAAAUAUAAAUUUAAAAAGCUUCAGCAAUAAUGAGAUUAAAACAAGAAUUAGAAACCUUUUCCUCUGUGGCGCGAGGCUCUCUUCCUUGGAAGAAAUCCCAAAGAACCAUGCCGGGGGUGUUCAAACUUGCGAUGAGACAUGCUUCAACUUCAGGGUACCACUGCAACACUAUGAAUUUCAAACUUAUUUUCCUUGAAAAAGGCAGAAAAUUCACAACAACAGAAAGCAACAAAUUUUCAAAUGAUAUUUGGUUAAUCUCAAAUGCUACUACUUAUCAAUCUGCGUGUGUAUAAAACCAGAGAAACACUAUUCUCUCCAAGUGAAAAGGAUUAAAGAGGUAUUAUCCCAUAAAGGAGCUGAAAAUUGAGAUAAAGUUUCUGGAUAAAAGCAUAAUGACUAAAACACAGAUACAAAUUAAUAGAAACAUUCAAGUUUCAAUUAAAAAUAAUAAACAUUCUCAAAAAGAAGGGUAAGUUUUAAUAUUUAACAAUUAAUUUAUUAAAAAAAUACACAAUUGACAAUUUCAUUGAAAUACUAUGUAGUCAGACAAAAGUUUCUUGUAUUUGGAUCAGAUAAGGAAAAGUAAAAUCGUAAAUAAUCAAGAGAAACCAUCACAUUAAUUAAACCUGAUUGGAAGCCUCAAAACGGUUCUUUAUUCAACUUUAAAAAUCACUUAANNNNNNNNNNNNNNNNNNNNNNNNNNNNNNNNNNNNNNNNNNNNNGCCAUCAAAAUGCUACAAAGCCAAAAGGUCAUACAAUUUCAUUACUCAAUAAUCACGAAUUUCUUUUCUAGAAAAAAUGAAAUUAUAUCAACCCUUGACCUCUAAGCAUUUGAUAUCAACACCAAACCUUAAUAAGUGAAAUGAAAUGCUUCCCAACCAAAGGCCUAUGGCAUAAAAAUUAUGCCAAAUCUCAAAGCUCAGUGGUAUUCCUUUUCAAAUACCAAUUCAUGGUAUCGGCAAAAAGAGCCAUUUCCGAGACUCCAGCCUUGAUUAUUUCAGCAAUUCUCUUAUAAAGGGAAGUCGUUUCAAAAUCACCACCACGCAAGGCGCAAUAUCAAAAUGUUUAUCAGGACAAGAGCAUUAAAAGAACCUUUAAAAAACCUCCAAAACAUCUAUUUACAAAAGAGUAAAACAAGCAGAACCCAACUCCUUCCAGAACCAAGUAGAGAUCUAAGCUAAUCAAAUAUUGAAUCAAAAAGCGCAAACCAUUAUGAAUAAAUGACAGAAAUUGUAAGGUAUUACCUCCCGAGGAGAUCACUGGACGUACUGUGUGCCGAUAAGAACCCUAGAAAGGUUUAGCUAGGCAUUUAUAUCGUUCUCGAGGUCAGAUCCAACGGCUGCAAUUAGCAUCCAAUGGGUAUUAUUGUCCGUUGGAUGGUUAGGGUUGGGGUUUUGCAAGAAGCGCCGCGGAUCCAGCAGCUAUGGAAAAUAGUAAAUGGGCUAAGAAUAUUCAAAGUUGGGCUGAUUUGUUUUUUGGUUAGUGACUUUUAAGUUAAGUUUGGGUUCUGAGCAAAUUUUAAAAUGGUAUUUAGAAAUUGAAAACGUAAAUCAUAAAAUACUAUUUAUUUUAAUUUUGAAUAAAAAUUAUCUAUCAAAUAUUAAAAUAAUUAGUAACUAUUAAAACAUGUAAUAUUACUAGACAUUAUUUUGAAAAUAAUUUUUUUUAUAACAAUUAUAUAACCUUCAUGUGUAUAGAUGUAAAUAAUUUUUAUCAAAAUAAGAAAUUAAAUUUAUGGGAUAAAUUAUAGUUAAUCAAACUUUAUAAUUUUUUAAUUUUGUUAUAUAUAUUUAUGGUGUCCAAUAAAAAAUGUUAAAUUUUUAUUAAUUAGACAAAUAAAAAAUGUAAGGAUCUUUCUUCUUUUCUCGAAUGUGAGUUCUAUCCUUCCUUUGCCUCUAAGAGUGAGACACAUUUUUUUAGCUACUUUUACUCGGUGAAUUUAAAAAUUAGAAAGAAAUUAUAUUUUUUCUAUAUGCAUAUUUGGAUCUUUGUUGGUUUUCUCCUAUAUUUGCUUGGGUGGUUCAUAAUGUUCUAUUUGGACACUUUAUUUUUAGAGGAAACUCUUUUCCUUUAGAGGAAACUCUUUUCCUUUAGAGGACAUAGCCCCUUCCUUCGGGGGAGUUAUGUUUUUUGUGCUCAAUUAUUAUUUUUUUGUAGUUCUUGGUCUAAAUACUCUAAAAUCUAUUAAUAAAAUUAUUUUUUUUAAAAAAUAAGUUUUACCCUCCUUUCAGAUUCAAGCUUACUCAAUCAUGGAAAUAGCCUCUCUCAUUUCCAUCGAAUUUAGGGUACUCUGAUGCUCGGAAUGGAGGUCGUUUAUCGCAUCAUCACUAGCUCAUCCUCUCCUGAAGACCUAAAACAAUCUAUAAAUUCAAGUGGGAUUUUUCUCGAUAACAAUUUGAUCGAUAAAGUUCUCAAAAGGUUCAGGUUUGGUCAUGGGAAACCCUUGCAAGCACUUGAGCUCUUUAAAUUCACUGCCAAUAGAAAAGGGUUUUAUCACACUCCGAAUUCGUUAGAUACCAUGCUUUAUAUAUGGGCAAAGUCGUCAAUUUGAUCAUAUUUGGGAUGUUUUGAUUAAAAUGAAGAGGAAAGACCCGUCUUUGAUUUCCUCACGAACUAUGCAAGUGGUUUUGGGUAGACUGUGGAAUCUUUUAGAAUGUUCAAGAAGUUGGUUCCUGUGUUUGAUACCAGUUCUUUCAAUGCACUGUUGAGACCCUGUGUUUUCUUUAACAAAGGAAUGAUGAUCCAACCAAUGCACACGCCCCUGGAAUACCGCAGGGCAUAGAGCUCCCUACUUUCUUCUAAUACAAAAGCUACUUCCGACUGGUUUGUUCUUGGAGAAGGAGCUGGUUUUGCUCCUCUUAGAAGAGCUAGAACAUGCUAAGGUAUACCAGCUUUAGGUCAGCUUUUUCUAUUUGUUUUCUUUGAGAGGGGUUUGUUUCCCUUAUGUAUGGUCAAAUGCUGAGAUAACAGAGAAGAGGAGCAAAGAUUUACCCAGAAUUCCUAGGUGGAAGCUUCACAAGGGUAGCCCAAGUAUUUCUGUAGGUUGAAUUUCACAAAUAUGAUGGGCUUUAUGAGUUUUUUAUUUAUUGUAUUCAGGCCUUGAAAAAAAAAAAUAAAUAUCUAACAAUGAACUUUAAAAACUCGCAUCUCAUCCAAAAAGGUUCAGUAAUAAUUAAAGCAGCAGAUGCAGUCACUAAGCAAACCAACAGCAUAAGCACACCUCAAAAGGUUCAAACACUAGGAGAAAAACAAAUUCUCAAACGUAAGAAGAAAAGUUUUGAUGUUCAUCCAUCCUCUCCCAUGCUUAACUAAACUCAAGCCUUAACACGCCCAUAGAACUUGGACUUCUCCUGUGUUGUCUGGAAUCUUCCAUGGCCAAACUUGGAGGAUGUAUCAAUGAACUUGAGCUUAAUCUCCUCCAAAGCAACCCUAGAUGUCUGGUUCAACAAUGAUUGUCUCAAGGUCACAACUCUCUUCUUUGGUCCCACGCAGCAUCCUUUUAUCAUCAAAUAAUCUUCCUUCACCACACCAUAAUGGGGGAAUCCUCCCAUUGGAGUGAUAUCCUUUUCAGUCCUGUUAUUUGUGAAACAGAUUAGCCAAUUUCGAUGGGGCAAAUUUACAAUAACAACAAUAACCUCCUACGAAUUGCUCGAUCAAGAAGAAUGAUAUUAAUAUAGGACAGUGAAAAAAAAGCAUUAAGAAUGUUAACCUGUCAUAUUCAGUAAUUGCAGUAUGAGACUCUUGGCCACUCUUCCCAAGCUUGUAGAUUUUCUUGUUCAUCUCAGUACGGUGAUGAUAACCAUUCUGUCCAGCCCUAGCAACAGUAAAUGACACCCUAGCUGGAUGCCAAGCACCAAUACAUGCCACCUUCCUUAGACCACGAUGGGUCUUGCGGGGCAGACGGGUCACACCCCAACGAGUAACCACACCUUCAUAUCCCUUACCCUUGGUUACACCAAUAAUAUCUAUCAUCUCAUCCUUUUGGAAAACAGCAUCAAUAGGGAUCUGCUUCUCAAAGAAACUGUAGGCAAAGUCGACCUUCUUGGCAAUAUCCCCACCAUUCACCUGAAUCUCCAUUAGAUGGGCUUUCUUCUGCUUCAACCCUUUCAUCUUUCUUAUCUGCAGAGUCAAUAGUGCAGCAAAUGUGAAGAGUUAAGGAUUAAAGAAGAGCACAUACAAGUUGUACAUGAAAGAACAGAAUCAUGAAUCUAUUGAGGAUCAGAAAUCCAGCAGAGCCUUAAAGUGCUACUAAAUUAUUGAGUGAUGAUAUCUCAUUCACAAAUACAGAAAUGAAUGCACAAGGGAAAAGUGGAAGUAAUUUACCUGGGUGUGCGCCAAGACCCGAAUGACGGAACAAUGCUUCUUCAGUUUCUCCAAUUGAGCUUGAAUAUCUUUCUUCCCAUCUUCAGAUUCAAACUUCUUAGAGUACUUGGUGAAUGCCUUCUUUUUGGACUUGCACCAGUUCUUGUAGAAUCUCCUCCUCACAUCCUCACUCAAAUGCUGGGCCCAGACAGUGUUCAGUGAACGGAGACCACGGGGUGUUUUCAUAUAACCCACAACCCCAACCACCACCAUGGGUGGUGUCUCUACGAUAGUAACAGCUUCACAUGUUUCUUUCUUGUGGAGCUUUGACCCUGGCUUUUCAACUUCUCUGACAAUGUGGGUCAUCCCUGCUUUGUAACCCAGAAAAGCAGUCAAUCUGCAAGGUUUUGUUGGAUCAUCUUUGGGGAAUGCCUUCACUGUAAACAUCACAGAAAAGCGUAAAAAAAAUCAACAAUUGCACAACACUAACCAAUAUGCAAAUUGCAAAAAUAGUCAAUAUAAACAACUCACAAGUGAGUAAUAAAUCAACAUUAACAAAUACUGACAUAAAUUUAAUUGCAAGGCACUGAAACAAAUCAAUGCAAACACUAAAACUAAGGAAGCAACAUAGUAAGAUGACACUCUUUAUGAAAACAAAAAAAUGCUUGUAUUAAAAUCUAGAACUGUUAGGAAGUGCGAAUAAUUCAUUUAUAAUAACAAACCAACUACCAAGGCUAGGCAUAGGCCAUCUAUCUACCCACAACUCAUGCAGUCAGAAAAGAGGUUAUUAUUGAAAUAUCAAGGACCUAUUUACUUGUAGAAAACAGUUUUUCUUUUCAACCUUCGAAGAAUUAGAAGACUGUAGUUUUCAUUUUAUAAAGAAAACAAAGGAAAAGAUGGAAAGCAAGUUCAAUUGUGUAUGACAGAAAAUAGUUUUGUAUCUUAAAAAUUUUUUAAAAAUUAUUUGUAUCCAUUCGUAAUAGAAAGAGUCAUGAUAAAUAUAUUUUACAUCUAUUUUUUUAAAUGUGUCAAUUGUUUUAUCUUAUAAUAAUAUAGUUAGUUUUCAUUACUGUAAAUAAAUGUUUUUUCCAAACUUAAUGAUUAAAAGUUAUAGAAUAAUUUUAGUCAUUAGAGGAAAACAGUUGAAAAUAGAACUUUUGUUAUAAAGAAAAAUAACGAGGAAAAAACAUAAAGCUGAUUUCCAAAUCUUAGUUAAGUUUAGAAAAUUGAAAAACAAAAUUUUCAAUUCUCAGAUUGGAAAAUUGAUACAUAUGCACACAAAACUUUAUUUUCCAAUUUACUUAGAACAUUAUUCCCAAAAAUUACUCCAGUUUUCUACAAGUGAGAAAGUACAAAAAGUCCUGAGAUUUUUCAUGCCAAGGAAGAAAUGACAUACAAAAGGACAAACUAUACAUGAAUUUCUUUAAUCAAAAGCCCUAUUUUUACAUCCAAAAAACAGAAGACAACAUUAACCAUAGAGUUCGCUAAUACUAAAAAAACACCAUAAUAUGAUCAAAACUAAACAAGAAGCAAUUUAGGCAACAUCGAUUACUGAUAAUGAAAACAAUCAAUGCAUGACUUCAAAAAAAUCAACGAAUGCAUAUUAUGUAAGGCCAAAUAUAAAUUUAAAAAGCUUCAGCAAUAAUGAGAUUAAAACAAGAAUUAGAAACCUUUUCCUCUGUGGCGCGAGGCUCUCUUCCUUGGAAGAAAUCCCAAAGAACCAUGCCGGGGGUGUUCAAACUUGCGAUGAGACAUGCUUCAACUUCAGGGUACAACUGCAACACUCUAUGAAUUUCAAACUUAUUUUCCUUGAAAAAGGCAGAAAAUUCACAACAACAGAAAGCAACAAAUUUUCAAAUGAUAUUUGGUUAAUCUCAAAUGCUACUGCUUAUCAAUCUGUGUGUAUAAAACCAGAGAAACACUAUUCUCUCCAAGUGAAAAGGAUUAAAACAGGUAUUAUCCCAUAAAGGAGCUGAAAAUUGAGAUAUAGUUUCUGGAUAAAAUCAUAAUGACUAAAACACAGAUACAAAUUAAGAGAAACAUUCAAGUCAAUUAAAAAUAAUAAACAUUCUCAAAAAGAAGGGUAAGUUUUAAUAUUUAACAAUUACUUUAUUAAAAAAUACACAAUUGACAAUUUCAUUGAAAUACUGUGUAGUCAGACAAAAGUUUCUUGUAUUUGGAUAAGAUAAGGAAAAGUAAAAUCGUAAAUAAUCAAGAGAAACCAUCAGAUUAAUUAAACCUGAUUGGAAACCUCAAAACGGUUCAUUAUUCAACUUUAAAAAUCAAUUAAAAAAAUUUUUGAAAAAAAAGACUCAGCCAUCAAAAUGCUACAAAACCAAAAGGUCAUACAAUUUCAUCACUCAAUAAUCACGAAUUUCUUUUCUAGAAAAAAUGAAAUUAUAUCAACCCUUGACCUCUAAGCAUUUGAUAUCAACACCAAACCUUAAUAAGUGAAAUGAAAUGCUUCCCAACCAAAGGCCUAUGGCAUAAAAAUUAUGCCAAAUCUCAAAGCUCAGUGGUAUUCCAUUUCAAAUACCAAUUCAUGGUAUCGGCAAAAAGAGCCAUUUCCGAGACCCCAGCCUUGAUUAUUUCAGCAAUUCUCUUAUAAAGGGAAGUCAUUUCAAAAUCACCACCAGGCAAGAUUAUCAGGACAAGAGCAUUAAAAGAACCUUUAAAAAACCUCCAAAACAUCUAUUUACAAAAGAGUAAAACAAGCAGAACCCAACUCCUUCCAGAACCAAGUAGAGAUCUAAGCUAAUCAAAUAUUGAAUCAAAAAAAGCAAACCAAGUAGAGAUCUAAGCUAGAAGUUUAAUUAUCAUGUAUGUUUAUGAAUCAAUGACAGGAAUUGUAAGGUAUUACCUCCCGAUGAGGAGAUCACUGGACGUACUGUGUGCCGAUAAGAACCCUAGAGAGGUUUAGCUAGACAUUUAUAUCGUUCUCGAGAUGAGAUCCAACGGCUGUAAUUAGCAUCCAAUGGGUAUUAUCGUUGGAUGGUUAGGGUUAGCGUUUUGCAAGAAGAGCCGCCGAUCCAGCAGCUAUGGAAACUAGUAAAUGGGCUAAGAAUAGAGAAAGCCGACUACAUCCAGUCCAAUAUUCAAAGGUGGGCUGAGUUGUUUUUUGGUUAGUAACUUUUAAGUUUGGGUUCUGAGAAAAUUUUAAAAUGGUAUUUAGAAAUUGAAAACGUAAAUCAUAAAAUACUAUUUUUUUUAAUUUUGAGUAAAAAUUAUCUAUCAAAUAUUAAAAUAAUUAGUAACUAUUAAAACAUGUAAUAUUACUAGACAUUAUUUUGUAAAUAAUUUUUUUAUAAAUGUAAAUAAUGUUAUCAAAAUAAGAAAUUAAAUUUAUGGGAUAAAUUAUAGUUAAUCAAACUUUACCAUUUUUCUAAUUUUGUUAUAUAUAAUUAUGGUGCCCAAUAAAAAAUGUUAAAUUUCUAUUAAUUAGACAAAUAAAUCUAACCGUGGUUUUAUUUUUUUUUUUUUUUAAAUAAAGAUUCUCUCUCCAAAUUCCUUUCUUAAGUUUUAACUUAAAUUCAUUUGCUGCCUCCUGUGCGGGUGAGCAGUAUUCGGUUCAAAUCGAAAAAAUUGAUCGAACCGAACUGAUUUAAAAUUUUAGUUCGGUUUUUUAUAUAUUUUGGUUCAGUUUGGUUUUUAAUUUUAGAAAUUUCGGUUAUUUCAAUUCGGUUCGAUUUUAAUUAAAAAAAAAUCGAAAAAACCGAAUCAAACCGAUUAGUAAUAAUAAUAUAUUUUUUCAAUAAUAUAGAGAAAUUAAAUCAUAUUAAAAUUAAAAUAUUUUAAUUAAAUUUUAAAAUAUUAAAAAUAAAAUGUAAAAAAUAAAAAAAUUAUUAAAAAUCGAAACUGAUCAAACCGAACCGAAUCGAACCGAAUCAUACCGGUUUGGUUCGAUUCGAUUUCUAAUCAAAAUCGGUUCGGUUCGAUUUUCAUAAAUACUAAAAUUUCGGUUUCGGUUUAUUCGAUUCGGUUCGAUUUUGAACCGAACUGACCGAAUGCUCACCCCUACUCCUGUGGUUUAUCAUAUCUCUGCAUGUAAGAGGAUCCUUCUACCCUUCCUUUGCCUCUAAGGGUAAGAGAGACCUCUUUUCUUUUUUGAAUAUAGUUUCUAUUUUCUCCCAUCCGAUUGGAUUGUAGAUAAUCCUUUUAACUAUUUUUACUCGGUUGUAUUUAAGCAUUCGAAAGAGAUCAUAUAUUUUUUAUAUGCAUAUUUGAAUCUUUGUGGGUUUUUCUCCUCUUUGCUUGUCUCUUUCAUAAUGUUCUAUUUGUAUACUUUAUUUUUAAAGUAAACUCCUUUACUUUAGAGGACAUGCCCCUUCUUUAGCAUGAAUUAUAUUUUUUGUGUCUAAUUGUUAUUUUUUUUGCGAUUGUUGGUCUAAAGAUUCUAAAUUACUCUUUGAUGAUUAUCAUUCGAUAGAGGGGGCAAGAAACAAAAUAAUAGUUGUAUCUAGCACAUGCUCGUAAACAGUUUAGAAAGCAGGAAUGAGAUGACAAAUAAUGAUACCACCUUUAUUCAUUGCCAACACAUAAUAGAUGUAGAGUUUCUAUAUGGUUCGGUACUCAAUGGUUUUCUCUUUAUCUUUCUUCGAAUAUUUUUUAUUUCUUUACUUUUUUUUAUUUUUCACAUUUAAAUUUAUCAAUAUCAACAUCUCAAUAAAUAGCUAGCUUAGUAUAGUUAGGGUUAUAUAAUUUUUUUUCAGUAGGAUAGGCUUGCUUGUAAUGGGAUUGUGUUUUACAUGUAUGAAAGAAUAAAUAUCAAAUACUUAAAUUUUUAAAAAAUUUAUUAAUUUAUUUAUAUUUUAAAAUUAUUCAAUUAAAAUAUCUUUAUAUUUUACAUAAUCAAACUCUUGUAAUUUUUAUGUUACUUUACAAGAUUUAUUUUAAAUUUGAUCAGAAAAAUUAAAUAGUAUGAAUAUUUCAAAUUAUAAAAAUUAAAUAAUACAUAUAAUUAAAAUUAUAAAAACCAACCAAAACAAUUAUUCCAGGUAGGUUGCUAAUGUUUUUUUUUUUUAACAGAAAAAAAAAUUUAUAUUUUACAAAAUAUAAAAAUAAUUUAAUGGAGUGAUUUGAAAAUAAAAACAAACUAGUUUAUUUAAUAAAAUUUCAGGGAUUACAUAAUAAUUUAGCCUAGAUGUAUUUGGGAUGGGUUUGGACCAAGCAAUAUUGUUUUUUCUUUUUAGUCAUAGCCUAUCUGAGGGCCCUCAACUAGAAAAUGAAAUUGCAUUAAUAAAAUUAAUUUGGUUGGACUCAAUUAAAUUUGAUAUAUUGGCUUGGAUUAAUUAUAAAUUCAGUUUCAGUUAUGUUUCUCAAUAUUAACUUUAAUUUGAAACUUAAUUACAAUUAAUUAAAAAGUUAAACUAUUCUAUUGGCUCCUUUCUAGAUUACCUCAGCUUGAUACGGUCUUUUGCCCAGAAAUGCAAGAAAUCUAGAAUGUUUACUUCUAGAUGAUGUGCAAGUCCAUUAGUUCUUUUGGGUCGGAUCUAGAGAAUCCAAUCAGGAUUAAUGUUUUCUGGGUGGAAUUUACAUUUGAGUUGUCUUUUACUGGAACCAAAUCAUUGUACUUUUAGGCCAUAGUUAAUGAUAUUUCAAUCCAAAAUUUGAUACUAAAUUCACAUUGAUUUCACACAUCUCAAAAACCAUAAAGAUGACCUUGACAUAAUACUUAUUAAUAAAUUCGAUUAUUAUAUGGGCAAUCUAUUAACAGAAAAUGGACAUUAAACUGAAAAGCAUCGAACAGAAGUAAUACAAAUACCAUAUGCAUUGCAUUUUGUGCUCAAGCAGACACUUGAAAGCUAAUGAUCUGGAUUAGGAAUACUAUUACUUCAUACAUGCUUCCAUUCAGUCAUCAAGCAAACUGGCUUUGUUAAUGGUACCUCAAAUCAUCAAUGUCAUGCCCUUUGAGAGCAAAAUGGAGCACUGAAAUCAAUGGCAUUCAGAUAUAUAAAUAGCAGUAAAUAAUUUAAUAAGGAAAGCUCCAAACAGGUUCAGUAAUAAUUGAAGCAACAAAACUACAGUCACCAACAAAAACCAACAGAGUAAUCCAACUCAAAAAUUUCAAACACUAGGAGAAAAAGUUGUGAUGUUUAUUUAUCCUCUCCCAUGCUUAGCUAAACUCAAGCCUUAACCCGCCCAUAGAACUUUGCCUUCUCCUGUGUUGUCUGGAAUCUACCAUGGCCAAACUUGGAGGAUGUAUCAAUGAACUUGAGCUUAAUCUCCUCCAAAGCAACCCUAGAUGUCUGGUUCAACAAUGAUUGUCUCAAGGUCACAACUCUCUUCUUUGGUCCCACGCAGCAUCCUUUUAUCAUCAAAUAAUCUUCCUUCACCACACCAUAGUGGGGGAACCCUCCCAUUGGUGUGAUAUCCUUUUCAGUCCUGUUAUUUUUGAAACACAUUAGCCAAAAUUGACAUAGCAAAUUUACAAAAGCUACCAAAAUCUCUAUGAUUUGCCUGAUCAAGGUGCAUAGUAUUAAAAUAGGACUGUAAAGGGAACAAGCAUU
This 13408-nucleotide long non-coding RNA is filed under the name Manihot esculenta (cassava). Its description in RNAcentral is "long non-coding RNA (MESC_LNC006214)". The record is from RNAcentral. Lineage: Eukaryota; Viridiplantae; Streptophyta; Magnoliopsida; Malpighiales; Euphorbiaceae.